Molecule: ribosomal RNA, 497 nt
Filed under: uncultured bacterium
Lineage: Bacteria
Description: partial 16S ribosomal RNA
Rfam family: Bacterial small subunit ribosomal RNA
Source: RNAcentral
GAUGAACGCUGGCGGCGUGCCUAAUACAUGCAAGUCGAGCGAACAGACGAGGCGCUUGCUCCUCUGACGUUAGCGGCGGACGGGUGAGUAAUACGUAGAUAACCUACCUAUAAGAAUGGGAUAACUUCGGGAACCCGGAGCUAAUACCGGAUCAUAUAUUGAACCGCAUGGUUCAAUAGUGAAAGACGGUUUUGAUGUCACUUAUAGAUGGUUCCGCGCCGCAUUAGCUAGUUGGUAAGGUAACGGCUUACCAAGGCGACGAUGCGUAGCCGACCUGAGAGGGUGAUCAGCCACACUGGAACUGAGACACGGUCCAGACUCCUACGGGAGGCAGCAGUAGGGAAUCUUCCGCAAUGGGCGAAAGCCUGACGGAGCAACGCCGCGUGAGUGAUGAAGGUCUUCGGAUCGUAAAACUCUGUUAUUAGGGAAGAACAAAUGUGUAAGUAACUAUGCACGUCUUGACGGUACCUAAUCAGAAAGCCACGGCUAACUACGUG